RNAcentral lists this non-coding RNA (167 nucleotides) under Catenibacterium sp. CAG:290. Its description in RNAcentral is "Lysine riboswitch aptamer". It matches the Rfam family "Lysine riboswitch aptamer". Rfam says of the family: Riboswitches are metabolite binding domains within certain messenger RNAs that serve as precision sensors for their corresponding targets. Allosteric rearrangement of mRNA structure is mediated by ligand binding, and this results in modulation of gene expression. RNAcentral also lists the same sequence under 1 other name. The record is from Rfam by way of RNAcentral. Lineage: Bacteria; Bacillati; Bacillota; Erysipelotrichia; Erysipelotrichales; Coprobacillaceae.
UAUAAAGAUAGAGGAAGCGAUGCAUCAGAGUAGUAUGAGGAGUCGGCAGACUAAGAAUCAUAUGAAAGGUAAUCAUCGCCGAAAGAAGAUAAGCGGCAGCUUAUAGUCUUGGGGAUUCAGGAAAUACCUGUCUCACUCCUUCAUGAUGAAGAGGCGUUAUCUAAUCG